Molecule: long non-coding RNA, 3258 nt
Organism: Carassius gibelio (silver crucian carp)
Lineage: Eukaryota; Metazoa; Chordata; Actinopteri; Cypriniformes; Cyprinidae
Exons: 3
Source: RefSeq, a predicted model, not a curated record
UUUCUGGGUGUUUCGUCUAUUUCCACCCUUUCUGGGCUUUUUCACUGCUUAGUCGUCUUUUAUGUAGUAAUUUAUAAUAGUAAACUACGCUUACUCUAUUAGCCAAGCGCUCAAUUGUCUAAUUCUGGCCAGUAAUUAGACAAUUAAAGCACGUUGGGCGCCAUGUUUUAUGGUGUCUCCUUUAUCUAUACACCUUUUACCUAUUUCUUUAUUAUUCUCAGGUAGGUAAGGAAAGUCGACCCUGGACAAAACUAUAAGCAUUUAAAAAAUACUUACAUCUUGCUCAGUAGACUUCCCUGUGGUCAGUUCUUGCUUACGGCUCUUAAAUUACUACUCUUGCAGACCAUAACUUGUCAAUAAUAAAAUACAAGUUUUAUUAAAAUUAACAAAAGUUAUAUCAAAGUACAAUAGUAAAGUUACAAAAUCAAGGUAUAAUCAGCUGGUAUCAGGCGUCGAGGGAUACUGUGCUUGUUCAGUAUCCGUCGGUCGAGUCUCUCUCUCAGUCUUUUAUACACAGACGUCGAACGCUGGUUCUUCUGAUGUCAUCACCUGGAGUGCAGCCAACUCCUCUGCCGAGGCUUUCAGUUGUUUAUGUCGCAUUGCUUUAGCCCUUUUCCUCUUCUUUUUCCUCUUUAACAGUCGGUGAAAUACACCUUAAAUACUAUAUUGUCCAUUUAUCAUAAACACUAUUUCUAAUACAUAAGUGUUUCUACUCUAAAUCAGUCACUACAUACAUUUCAUGCAAGUAAGCAGUUUUCUUAAUGUUAGUGAAGUUACACAAUACAUUUUCCAUAUAGCAUUAAUCACAGGGUUACAUCUUUGUACUUAAGCAAAAGCAUUAUUACUACUUAGGUUACAGUACAUCUGUAUAGCAUAAUAUAACUUUAUAGCAAAUUAAGCAUUAAUCAAGACAGUACAAUUGCAAAAUCAUCAUCUCCAUUAACAACUGUAAAAAAUAAUUCAGUGGCUUAGUAAAUUUCACAAAAAUAAAGAGCUAUAUUAACUUAAUAAAAUCUUUUGAAAUCAUUUAAGUGAUAUUUUGAGUGGGUCAGAUUAAAAAUAAUAAUUAAAAAUCCAACAAAUAAUUUCUCUAAAAUUUACAUAUAUUAUUUAAGUUUAUGUAAUGAAAAUAAAUAAGUAUUUAACUAACUAAUUAUUUUUUUAAUAUACCUUCAAUAUUUCUGGUGAAUUCUAAUAGAAAUAUUUGAUAAUUAUUUACUUGUACUGAUCUGUUUUAGAAACUAAAAUUAUUAAGUAUUUCCUACCAAUUUUCCUAAAUAAAGUUCCAGCUUAAUAAAUGACAGUUAAAUAAAUUGAGUAAAUUUCGCGGCUAAAGUGAUCACGUGUGCAGCUCCGCUCCGCAGGAAAAAAAAAAAAUCUGCUUUCCUCAGCAGCGACGUCGACUAGCCAUACACCUCACAACUCCUGGUAAGUAACGUUAGUCAGCUAAUCCUACUUACGUUUGUAACACUUUAUUAAAAAGUUAAUAAUUAUUAAGCAUUUCCUAACAAUUGUCUUUGUAUUUUACGUCAUAUUCAACAAGUUUCGUAGCUUAAUCGAAGUCACCUGAAGGACGGCUUUCCUCAGCAACGGCAAGACCCGCACUCCUCUCAUAUCAUGAAGUUUAACAAGUUUCGCGGCUCAAACAAGAGGCACCUGUCACUGAAGGACUGCUUUUCUCAGCAACGACGUGAACAUUACUCGAAUUUCCUGGUUCAGCUGAUCUACCCGUCUUCGUACAAGCAGAGUUGGCAGAGGAGGUCAUAAAAAUCUACAUCCUUCGGAACAAUGAUGGGGCAGUCAGCGAUGUAAUCUUGGGAAUCACCGCAGAGCCUGCUGCCAUCUUUUGGGAGUCACAUUGGAUUUGAGAUAUCCCAAGACCCACAAAUACAGGUCCUUCUCCAAAAAUUAGCAUAUUGUGAUAAAGUUCAUUAUUUUCCAUAAUGUAAUGAUAAAAAUUAAACUUUCAUAUAUUUUAGAUUCAUUGCACACCAACUGAAAUAUUUCAGGUCUUUUAUUGUUUAAAUACUGAUGCUUUUGGCAUACAGCUCAUGAAAACCCCAAAUUCCUAUCUCAAAAAAUUAGCUUAUUUCAUCUGACCAAUAAAAGAAAAGUGUUUUUAAUACAAAAAAAAAGUCAACCUUCAAAUAAUUAUGUUCAGUUAUGCACUCAAUACUUGGUCGGGAAUCCUUUUGCAGAAAUGACUGCUUCAAUGCGGCGUGGCAUGGAGGCCAUCAGCCUGUGGCACUGCUGAGGUGUUAUGGAGGCCCAGGAUGCUUCGAUAGCGGCCUUAAGCUUAUCCAGAGUGUUGGGUCUUGCGUCUCUCAACUUUCUCUUCACAAUAUCCCACAGAUUCUCUAUGGGGUUCAAGUCAGCAGAGUUGGCAGGCCACUUGAGCACAGUAAUACCAUGGUCAGUAAACCAUUUACCAGUGGUUUUGGCACUGUGAGCAGGUGCCAGGUCGUGCUGAAAAACGAAAUCUUCAUCUCCAUAAAGCUUAUCAGCAGAUGGAAGCAUGAAGUGCUCCAAAAUCUACUGAUAACUAGCUACAUUGACCCUGCCCUUGAUAAAACACAGUGGACCAACACCAGCAGCUGACAUGGCACCCCAGACCAUCACUGACUGUGGCUACUUGACACUGGACUUCAGGCAUUUUGGCAUUUCCUUCUCCCCAGUCUUCCUCCAGACUCUGGCACCUUGAUUUCCAAAUGAUAUGCAAUAUUUGCUUUCAUCCGAAAAAAGUACUUUGGACCACUGAGCAACAGUCCAGUGCUGCUUCUCUGUAGCCCAUUUCCUGCACACACCUGUGCACGGUGGCUCUGGAUGUUUCUACUUCAGACUCAGUCCACUGCUUCUGCAGGUCCCCCAAGGUCUGGAAUCGGUCCUUCUCCACAAUCUUCCUCAGGGUCUGGUCACCUCUUCUCGUUGUGCAGCGUUUUUUGCCACACUUUUUCCUUCCCACAGACUUCCCACUGAGGUGCCUUGAUACAGCACUCUGGGAACAGCCUAUUCGUUCAGAAAUGUCUUUCUGUGUCUUACCCUCUCGCUUGAGGGUGUCAAUGAUGGCCUUCUGGACAGCAGUCAGGUCGGCAGUCUUACCCAUGAUUGCGGUUUUGAGUAAUGAACCAGGCUGGGAGUUUUUAAAAGCCUCAGGAAUCUUUUGCAGGUGUUUAGAGUUAAUUAGUUGAUUCAGAUGAUUAGGUUAAUAGCUCGUUUAGAGAACCUUUUCAUGAUAUGCUAAUUUUUUGAGAUAGGAAU